UAACGGCGAGUGAAGCGGCAACAGCUCAAAUUUGAAAUCCGGCCCCCCGCGGCCCGAGUUGUAAUUUGCAGAGGACGCUUUGGGCGAGGUGCCUUCCGAGUUCCCUGGAACGGGACGCCGUAGAGGGUGAGAGCCCCGUACGGUCGGCGGCCGAGCCCGUGUAAAGCUCCUUCGACGAGUCGAGUAGUUUGGGAAUGCUGCUCCAAAUGGGAGGUAAACCCCUUCUAAAGCUAAAUACCGGCCAGAGACCGAUAGCGCACAAGUAGAGUGAUCGAAAGAUGAAAAGCACUUUGAAAAGAGAGUUAAAAAGCACGUGAAAUUGUUGAAAGGGAAGCGCUUGUGGCCAGACUUGCGCCCGGCAGCUCAGCCGUCCCCAUCCCGGGGCGGUGUAUUCUGCCGGGCUCAGGCCAGCAUCAGUUUCCGGUCGGGGAGAAAGGCGGCGGGAACGUGGCUCUUCGGAGUGUUAUAGCCCGCCGCCAUGCCCUUCCGGGGACUGAGGUUCGCGCCCCGCAAGGAUGCUGGCGUAAUGGCCACCAGCGACCCGUCUUGAAACACGGACCAAGGAGUCGUCCUAGCAUGCGAGUGUUCGGGUGCCAAACCCCCUACGCGCAAUGAAAGUGAACGGAGGUGAGAGCUUCGGCGCAUCAUCGACCGAUCCUGAUGUUCUCGGAUGGAUUUGAGUAGGAGCAUGCUGGGCCGGACCCGAAAGAAGGUGAACUAUGCUUGUAUAGGGCAAAGCCAGAGGAAACUCUGGUGGAGGCUCGCAGCGGUUCUGACGUGCAAAUCGAUCGUCAAAUAUGAGCAUGGGGGCGAAAGACUAAUCGAACCUUCUAGUAGCUGGUUUCCGCCGAAGUUUCCCUCAGGAUAGCAGUGUUGAGCUCAGUUUUAUGAGGUAAAGCGAAUGAUUAGGGACUCGGGGGCGCUUAUUAGCCUUCAUCCAUUCUCAAACUUUAAAUAUGUAAGAAGCCCUUGUUGCUUUGGUGAACGCGGGCAUUCGAAUGUAUCAACACUAGUGGGCCAUUUUUGGUAAGCAGAACUGGCGAUGCGGGAUGAACCGAUCGCGAGGAUAAGGUGCCGGAGUGGACGCUCAUCAGACACCACAAAAGGUGUUAUCACAUCUUGACAGCAGGACGGUGGCCAUGGAAGUCGGAACCCGCUAAGGACUGUGUAACAACUCACCUGCCGAAUGUGAUAGCCCUGAAAAUGGAUGGCGCUCAAGCGUCCCACCCAUACCUCGCCUUCAGGGUAGAAACGACGCCCUGAAGUAGGCGGACGUGGGGGUCCGUGACG
Molecule: ribosomal RNA, 1290 nt
Filed under: Saagaromyces glitra
Lineage: Eukaryota; Fungi; Ascomycota; Sordariomycetes; Microascales; Halosphaeriaceae
Description: LSU rRNA
Rfam family: Eukaryotic large subunit ribosomal RNA
Source: RNAcentral